GAGUUUGAUCCUGGCUCAAAGCGAACGCUGGCGGCAGGCUUAACACAUGCAGGUCGAGCGGGCGUAACAAUACGUCAGCGGUAGACGGCUGAGUAACGCGUGGGAACGUACCUUUUGGUUCGGAACAACACAGGGAAACCUGUGCUAAUACCGGAUAAGCCCUUACGGGGAAAGAUUUAUCGCCGAAAGAUCGGCCCGCGUCUGAUUAGCUAGUUGGUGAGGUAACGGCUCACCAAGGCGACGAUCAGUAGCUGGUCUGAGAGGAUGAUCAGCCACAUUGGGACUGAGACACGGCCCAAACUCCUACGGGAGGCAGCAGUGGGGAAUAUUGGACAAUGGGCGCAAGCCUGAUCCAGCCAUGCCGCGUGAGUGAUGAAGGCCCUAGGGUUGUAAAGCUCUUUUGUGCGGGAAGAUAAUGACGGUACCGCAAGAAUAAGCCCCGGCUAACUUCGUGCCAGCAGCCGCGGUAAUACGAAGGGGGCUAGCGUUGCUCGGAAUCACUGGGCGUAAAGGGUGCGUAGGCGGGUCUUUAAGUCAGGGGUGAAAUCCUGGAGCUCAACUCCAGAACUGCCCUUGAUACUGAGGAUCUUGAGUUCGGGAGAGGUGAGUGGAACUGCGAGUGUAGAGGUGAAAUUCGUAGAUAUUCGCAAGAACACCAGUGGCGAAGGCGGCUCACUGGCCCGAUACUGACGCUGAGGCACGAAAGCGUGGGGAGCAAACAGGAUUAGAUACCCUGGUAGUC
This 742-nucleotide ribosomal RNA is filed under the name uncultured bacterium. Its description in RNAcentral is "bacterial SSU rRNA". It matches the Rfam family "Bacterial small subunit ribosomal RNA", at positions 9 to 795 of the family's 1533-position model. The record is from RNAcentral.